AGUGAGCGGCAAAAGCUCAAAUUUGAAAUCUAGCACCUUCGGUGUUCGAGUUGUAAUUUGAAGAUGGUAACCUUGGGUUUGGCUCUUGUCUAUGUUCCUUGGAACAGGACGUCAUAGAGGGUGAGAAUCCCGUCUGAUGAGAUGCCCAUUCCUAUGUAAGGUGCUAUCGAAGAGUCGAGUUGUUUGGGAAUGCAGCUCUAAGUGGGUGGUAAAUUCCAUCUAAAGCUAAAUAUUGGCGAGAGACCGAUAGCGAACAAGUACAGUGAUGGAAAGAUGAAAAGAACUUUGAAAAGAGAGUGAAAAAGUACGUGAAAUUGUUGAAAGGGAAGGGCAUUAGAUCAGACUUGGUGUUUUACGAUUAUCUUCUCUUCUUGAGUUGUGCACUCGUAUUUCACUGGGCCAGCAUCGAUUCGGAUGGCAAGAUAAUGGCAGUUGAAUGUGGCUUCACUUCGGUGGAGUGUUAUAGCUUCUGCUGAUAUUGCCUGUCUGGAUCGAGGGCUGCGUCUUUUGACUAGGAUGCUGGCGUAAUGAUCUAAUGCCG
This 541-nucleotide ribosomal RNA is filed under the name Wickerhamomyces sp. RNAcentral's name for it is "eukaryotic LSU rRNA". It matches the Rfam family "Eukaryotic large subunit ribosomal RNA", at positions 92 to 647 of the family's 3401-position model. Lineage: Eukaryota; Fungi; Ascomycota; Saccharomycetes; Phaffomycetales; Wickerhamomycetaceae. The record is from RNAcentral.